This is a long non-coding RNA of Jaculus jaculus (lesser Egyptian jerboa), 3952 nucleotides long. RefSeq lists it as uncharacterized. The transcript is spliced from 4 exons. The record is from RefSeq and is a predicted model, not a curated record. NCBI's taxonomy places the organism in Eukaryota, Metazoa, Chordata, Mammalia, Rodentia, Dipodidae.
GGGAAGGUGAUGAAGAGCAGGAAGACGUGCGGCACCACGUUGAGCGCGUCCACGAAGCAGCCGUUGUUGAGGACGCCCUGAUCCACCCGUUCUUGCAGGUCCACUUUCAGCCAUGCUGUCUCUCUCCGGUACUUUAGUCACGAUGCAGAGCUCCGCCCGCACGCAGGGCUCCAUUUGACCAUUGCCGACUCAUGUCUCAGUUUGUGUGAGCACAGGAUGUCCGCACCUCGAUGGAAUUGCCUAAUACCACGUUUCUCAGAGCAUGUCCCCAUUGUGGAUGUAACCUCUUUUGGAUCAGAGACCCUUGAAGAUCUGAUUGAAGCCUUGGAAUCCUUGUGGGGAUUUCCAGCCCUUCUCCACAUCCACUCAGAGGAACUGUAGGCCUGCGGUGGUCAGGAGCAGCCGCCUCACUUUACCACACGUCAUCCCUGCUGCCUUCCCAGCAUAACAGACGGCGUCCUCAAGCUGUGAGCCGAAGUCAACCCCGGCGUCCUUACGUAGCUCUUGUCAGAGCCUCCGUCACAGCAACAUGAGCAGUUACACCGCAGCCUCCUCGGUGCCCGCGCGCCCUCCCGGUGCCCUGCCUCCCCGCCUUCUCCCCUACCCAGGCUCUCAAAGCCUUCCUUCUUGCCUCACAAUCAAGGCCUGAUAGCAUUCAUGAAUCAUUCACCCCGAGGUGCCAAUAACUAAGAUAGCUACAGAUGAAUUUCAGAUGGUUCAGAUUCCAGGCACCUCGCGCUGAGGGACGCGGCCACGAUCUUUAUAGGUAAUGAGAGGUGGUAACUACUGCAGAAUCACAGAAUACUAGCUGUCCUCGGUUGUGAGGAGAAGUGUUCUGUCAACACUCCCAAACCCGAGGCAUUCCAGUGACGGGAACUCUACCCUAUAUAGCUCCGGAGAGGCAAGAGCGCAGCGCAGGCCUGGCCUGGAGUCACUGUCCAGACGUGGUUCCCUCUCCUCAGCUGGCUUGGAACUGCUUCCCGAGCAAGCUGAGUGCUAGAUAAGGAAAUGCAGGGACACUUCCAGUGGCCGCUGUCUCUGGGAGCGGUUAGAAGAAGGUCACUGUGGCCUGGCCUCUGCUGAGAUGAAAAGCCUGCCACCACCAGCCACAGCGAAACCACCUCAGCGGGUGGGUCAAACGGGACAAAGCCAGUGGCGGAGCUAACGAGGAAAGGUCCACUCAAGCGUUAGGUGACCGAUUCCAACUCCCAGGGGCCAGCUGAGCUCGGAGGAAGCUGCUGAGAGAGCGGAGCUGACUGAGAUGAAGCUCUGAGCUAGGCGAGCGGGUCCUGCAGAGCAGCCUGGAUCAGAACCCCUCUUACUGUGAACUCUUGGGAGUGGCAUGUCUCUGCAUCUUGGGUUGCCCUGAGAUGCCAUUCUGACUCUAUCCCACGGCCCCUGGUCAUUCUGUGUGCACAGACCCUUGCCCUGCUGAUAGCCUCCUGCAUCGUCCAUGAAGUUCUAUUGGGCUUCAUUUUGCACAUCUCUCCUUCCUGCCCUCCUUUGGUGUCAUCAGGAGAAGUAGUGGUGGCCCAUGAGACCAUUUGGGGUACCUGCACCUUGAGGGAAACAGAGCAAUCAGUCCCUGCCCCAUGACUUCAUUCCUGGCCUCUCUGCUAAGGACACAUGGAAGCCCAGCCUGGGCGCUCCUGCCUCAGUUUUGACUCCAAGUGAGCUCAGAUUCGCCACAAUACUGUCCAUACCAAGGCUCUGGGAUCUAUUUCCCACCCUUGAGUGGUACCCAAACCUUCUGGAUUUUAUUUGACAGCCUCAAAUCCACUGCUCUAUCCAUAUGCAUGCCCACAUGCUGGGAAAGGAACUGAUCUAUUUUAUUAAGAAGUUCAGAGUAAGGUUUGCAGCAGCAAUUGCCACUAGGAGAGAGGGGAGUGAAGAGACUCGGGAGCUGGUGCCCUUAGGGCUAAGGAAGGAGUGCCCGGAGCUGCAAGAGGCCAAGGCUGUAAGGCCAGAGGAAACGAGCCCAGACCUCGGGUCCUUCUCCAGAGCACCUGCACCUCGGGCAGGCCUUCAGAAGAGGGGCUCGGGUGCUUCUCAGCAGCCCUGGCUCAGGGACGCAGGGGUCUGCAGCUCCAUGGAUGCUUCAGGGCGCCCGACGACCGACCUCUCUCCAAGUGGGUUGCAGGCUGGGUCCAGAGGUCGUUCCUCCCGUGUGGAACUUAGUUUCUCUCUGUGUAUUUCAGAAGAAGGUCCUGCAGGGGAGGGAAGCACACCAGGUAGGCGGACAUUGUGAGUGACCCUGGCCCAGGGCCAGGCCCACCCCCGUACCACAAAGUCCUGCCAGCCUCCAGAGCCCCUCUUGGUCCAGCUCGGAGAAGUGACACUCCAGCCACAGCACACAGGAGAAGGGGAAAGCGACAGGGGCAUGUGGUGGGGAGGAAGAGAUUCAGGAGUCCCCUGUCAAGAACAAGUGACAGAAAGUAUAGAGCGACUCCAGAAGCCACGGCCCAGCAGGCCCACUGUCUUGAGAACACGAGGCCCUAAUGUCUUAAGGAACUUAGAGCAGAGCAGCCAACAGCAGUCCUGGCCUGGGGCUGCCCUGGCUGUGGGCUUUAGGCCACAUCCAUUCUGUUUCAUAGCCACCAAGCACAGGAUGGGAAACACACUCCAAUCUGGGCUUCAUGAGGGUGUCCCCCAGUCAGCCUGGAUCAGGGUGGGGAGAGAACAGUGGAUGAUGUGAGAUGAGCAGAGCUCAACCACUACAGGGCACAACAGGCCAUGAGCUAACGGGAUCCGCCAACCCUGCUUCUUUGGACCAGCUUUAUGACCUCAAAGCUCAUUCAGCUGGACAUCUGUGGCUCUCCCAGCCAGGCCCGUCAGGCUGAAGGUCUCUUCUGUGUCUGUAGAACACCGUGUGUGAUGCCACCUGCUCAACUGGGCAGCGCAUGCACCCUAACACAGGUCCCGAGGGCUGUGGGCACCAGGCCUCCCAGGUCUCAGGUUAGGUCCCUCGCCAGACUCAGAGCAUUUCCUCAAGUUCCACAGUGACUCAGCCACUGACAGCAGCCUGGAUGGGCACCUAGGCAUGCUGCCCCUGCCCCCCACCAGACACCAGUCCAAAGAACCUGCUGGCAUCACCAGCACAUGGCAUGAAGCACAGGCGGACGGGCCCUGCGGCCGCCUGCCUAAUCACCGUGGGCUCCAGCUGCAGGAGGAACCCGUGUCUGUACACGGGGUCACCAGCUUCAAGCCGCUUUCGGACCGGCUGGGGGCUUUCGGCUGCAGAGGAGGAAGAGCUACAUGCGCAGGACAGAGCAGGGGACAAGAAGAAGUUCUGUUACUGCGUGUGGCUCCUGCCCCAGCCCCGAGCUCCAGAAGCAGGAGCUGCUGGUUCCGAGUUCACCAAGGCGUGCAGACUUCGGGGUGUGCUGGGCAGGGGCAUCUAUGGGAGGAUGGGUCAGCAGGGCGGCUAGCGGGAUGAGGGAUGAGGAUGAGGGCUAGGGAGGAGACAUGACACGCGAUGGAGGUGAGAUGCUGCGGAGAGAAUGACAGAGGAAAACAUGCAUGAAGAAUAUCGAGAUGAGAAGCAGAGACUCAGAGCUAGAGAUAAAAACAGGAAGCAAGAAAAGGAGAGAGAGAUGGAUGAGGGGGGAGAAGGAAAAGGGGGAUAACGGGAAGGAUGGGGAAGAGGGAGAGAGACGAGGAGAAGGGCACAGAGAGACCCACCCAGAUACGGACACGAGGAAAUAGAGCCACAUCCUGGUGAGGCUCCUGGAGAGCCCAUAGCUAGCGUGCUUCCUGGAGUCUGUGGUCUUGGCGGCCUAGACACGCAGCCAGAGUGAGUGCAGUGAAUGCACAUGUCAGGCCAAUCUUCCAGGAGGUGAAGAUGGACACAGAAACUGAUAUCUGAUAAUGGUACAUGGGAUAAGGUUCUGAGUGGGGCAUCAAAAGUUCUGAAUCUGGGCUGGAGAGAUGGCUUAGUGGGUAAGGUGUUUGU